Molecule: small RNA, 101 nt
Filed under: Pantoea sp. PNT01
Lineage: Bacteria; Pseudomonadati; Pseudomonadota; Gammaproteobacteria; Enterobacterales; Erwiniaceae
Description: RtT sRNA
Rfam family: RtT RNA
About the family: This family represents a bacterial cis-regulatory element known as RtT RNA.
Source: RNAcentral
GAGGAUGAGAACCUCCGAAGGAGGUUUGAGCCGAGCGUAGCGAGACAACGUUGCUUCAGCAACGGCCCGAAGGGCGCUGCUCGAAGAGCAGAGUAAUCCUC